Molecule: small RNA, 28 nt
Filed under: Bombyx mori (domestic silkworm)
Lineage: Eukaryota; Metazoa; Arthropoda; Insecta; Lepidoptera; Bombycidae
Description: ovarian small RNA-7883
Source: RNAcentral
UGAAAUAUCUCCUCCUUUCUUGUACAUG